Unclassified non-coding RNA from Bison bison bison, 171 nucleotides. The record is from Ensembl. Lineage: Eukaryota; Metazoa; Chordata; Mammalia; Artiodactyla; Bovidae.
UUGAAGGCGUGGAGACUGAAGUCCUCUCUGUAUCCACAGAUCAGGUGUGGCACAGGCCGAGGCAGUGCAGCUUCCCACUGUGCCCCGCCCCGUGCCUCAGUCCUGGCUGAGAGGGGCCAUGUUGAGGGUAAGAGGGCUGUCAGUCUCCAUGCCCUUCAAUCUUUGGCUACU